CCCCAGCGCCACAAGUGGGAACCACAUUUAUUGGGUCUAAAGCAUCCGUAGCCGGUUAAGUAAAUUCUCUGUGAAAUCGUCGGGCCUAACCCGAGGCGUGCAGGGGACACUGCUUGACUAGAGACCAGGAGAGGUUAACGGUAUUCUGGGGGGAGCGGUAAAAUGUUAUAAUCCCCAGAGGACCACCGAUGGCGAAGGCAGUUAACCAGAAUGGAUCUGACGGUGAGGGAUGAAAGCUAGGGGAGCGAUCCGGAUUAGAUACCCCCGUA
Molecule: ribosomal RNA, 269 nt
Filed under: uncultured prokaryote
Description: partial 16S ribosomal RNA
Rfam family: Archaeal small subunit ribosomal RNA
Source: RNAcentral